This 88-nucleotide transfer RNA is filed under the name Gloeobacter violaceus PCC 7421. RNAcentral describes it as "tRNA-Ser (CGA) (tRNA-Ser-CGA-1-1)". It matches the Rfam family "tRNA". From Rfam's summary of the family: Transfer RNA (tRNA) molecules are approximately 80 nucleotides in length. Their secondary structure includes four short double-helical elements and three loops (D, anti-codon, and T loops). The record is from RNAcentral. Lineage: Bacteria; Bacillati; Cyanobacteriota; Cyanophyceae; Gloeobacterales; Gloeobacteraceae.
GGAGAGGUGACAGAGCGGUUGAUUGUGACGGUCUCGAAAACCGUUGAGGCGAAAGCCUCCGGGAGUUCGAAUCUCCCCCUCUCCGCCA